AACGUAGGUGGCGAGCGUUAUCCGGAUUUACUGGGCGUAAAGGGUGUGCAGGCGGUUCUUCAAGUGGUGUAUGAAAUAUCCCGGCUCAACCGGGAAGGGUUAUGCCAGACUGGGGAACUAGAGUGCGAGAGAGGGGCGUGGAAUUCCGGGUGUAGUGGUGAAAUGCGUAGAGAUCCGGAGGAACCCCAGAGGCGAAGGCGGCGCCCUGGCUCGCAACUGACGCUCAUACGCGACAGCAUGGGGAGCGAACGGG
Molecule: ribosomal RNA, 253 nt
Filed under: uncultured prokaryote
Description: partial 16S ribosomal RNA
Rfam family: Bacterial small subunit ribosomal RNA
Source: RNAcentral